ACAAUGGGUGACUAGGGUUCCGGUCCGGGCGAAUCUGCAACAGCAGCCCGGAUGGCUGGUCCGAGAGUUACCGACCUCUGGGAGGUUACACGGCGGGACAAAAGCCCGGGAGAC
This 114-nucleotide small RNA is filed under the name Marinobacter sp. RNAcentral's name for it is "Guanidine-I sequence". It matches the Rfam family "Guanidine-I riboswitch aptamer". Rfam says of the family: This family represents a conserved RNA structure found upstream of the ykkC and yxkD genes in Bacillus subtilis and related genes in other bacteria. The function of this family is unclear although it has been suggested that it may function to switch on efflux pumps and detoxification systems in response to harmful environmental molecules. The record is from RNAcentral. Lineage: Bacteria; Pseudomonadati; Pseudomonadota; Gammaproteobacteria; Pseudomonadales; Marinobacteraceae. RNAcentral also lists the same sequence under 1 other name.